GAGAGAGGUCCGACGACAGCAAGGACUGCUAAUCCUCUGCCCCUCCGGUUAGACCCCGGGGCUCACUCG
Molecule: transfer RNA, 69 nt
Filed under: Gigantura indica (telescopefish)
Lineage: Eukaryota; Metazoa; Chordata; Actinopteri; Aulopiformes; Giganturidae
Description: tRNA-Ser
Source: RNAcentral